Molecule: ribosomal RNA, 445 nt
Filed under: uncultured bacterium
Lineage: Bacteria
Description: partial 16S ribosomal RNA
Rfam family: Bacterial small subunit ribosomal RNA
Source: RNAcentral
GUAAGGAAUAUUGGUCAAUGGACGAAAGUCUGAACCAGCCAUGCCGCGUGGAGGAUGAAGGUCCUCUGGAUUGUAAACUUCUUUUAUAUGGGACGAAAAAAGGCUUUUCUAAGUCGUCUGACGGUACCAUAUGAAUAAGCACCGGCUAACUCCGUGCCAGCAGCCGCGGUAAUACGGAGGGUGCAAGCGUUAUCCGGAUUCACUGGGUUUAAAGGGUGCGUAGGUGGAUUGCCAAGUCCGUGGUGAAAUCUUCGAGCUUAACUCGGAAACUGCCAUGGAUACUGGUGAUCUUGAAUAUCGUGGAGGUUAGCGGAAUAUGUCAUGUAGCGGUGAAAUGCUUAGAUAUGGCACAGAACACCAAUUGCGAAGGCAGCUCACUAAGGCGAUACUGACGCUGAGGCACGAAAGCGUGGGGAUCGAACAGGAUUAGAAACCCGAGUAGUCC